UACGUAGGGUGCGAGCGUUAAUCGGAAUUACUGGGCGUAAAGCGUGCGCAGGCGGCUUUGCAAGACAGAUGUGAAAUCCCCGGGCUCAACCUGGGAACUGCAUUUGUGACUGCAAUGCUGGAGUGCGGCAGAGGGGGAUGGAAUUCCGCGUGUAGCAGUGAAAUGCGUAGAUAUGCGGAGGAACACCGAUGGCGAAGGCAAUCCCCUGGGCCUGCACUGACGCUCAUGCACGAAAGCGUGGGGAGCAAACAGG
RNAcentral lists this ribosomal RNA (253 nucleotides) under uncultured bacterium. RNAcentral describes it as "partial 16S ribosomal RNA". It matches the Rfam family "Bacterial small subunit ribosomal RNA", at positions 524 to 776 of the family's 1533-position model. The record is from RNAcentral.